Molecule: transfer RNA, 66 nt
Filed under: Helopeltis sp.
Lineage: Eukaryota; Metazoa; Arthropoda; Insecta; Hemiptera; Miridae
Description: tRNA-Phe
Source: RNAcentral
ACUUAAAUAUCUUAAAUUAAAAGUUUAAUAUUGAAGAUAUUAAUAUGGAGUUCAUUCCUUUAAGUG